GACGAACGCUGGCGGCGUGCUUAACACAUGCAAGUCGAACGGAAAGGCCCUGCUUUUGUGGGGUUCUCGAGUGGCGCACGGGUGUGUAACACGUGAGUAACCUGCCCUUGACUUUGGGAUAACUUCAGGAAACUGGGGCUAAUAUCGGAUAGGAGCUCCUGCUGCAUGGUGGGGGUUGGAAAGUUUCGGCGGUUGGGGAUGGACUCGCGGCUUAUCAGCUUGUUGGUGGGGUAGUGGCUUACCAAGGUUUUGACGGGUAGCCGGCCUGAGAGGGUAACCGGCCACAAUAGGACUGAGAUACGGCCCAGACUCGUACGGGAGGCAACAGUGGGGAGUAUUGCGCAGUGAGCGGAAGCCUGAUGCAGCAACGCCGCGUGCGGGAUGACCGCCUUCGGGUUGUAAACCACUUUCGCCUGUGACGAAGCGUGAGUGACGGUAAUGGAUAAAGAAGCAACGGCUAACUACGUG
RNAcentral lists this ribosomal RNA (468 nucleotides) under uncultured bacterium. Its description in RNAcentral is "partial 16S ribosomal RNA". It matches the Rfam family "Bacterial small subunit ribosomal RNA", at positions 28 to 507 of the family's 1533-position model. The record is from RNAcentral.